Molecule: long non-coding RNA, 4867 nt
Filed under: Solanum lycopersicum (tomato)
Lineage: Eukaryota; Viridiplantae; Streptophyta; Magnoliopsida; Solanales; Solanaceae
Description: long non-coding RNA (SLYC_LNC000873)
Source: RNAcentral
AGAGGAAGAGGAUUUCGUUUCCAAGAAAUGUUAGCGAUGCAGACAGUUGCAGUACGGCUUCAUCUUCUACAGUUGAAAAAGGCCAUUUUGUAGUAUAUACAGUCGAUCAAGCACGAUUUGUCAUUCCAUUGGUUUACCUUGAAAAUGAGAUCAUUAGGCAACUCUUGAACAUGUCUGAAGAAGAAUUUGGGCUGCCGAGUGGUGGUCCUAUUACAUUACCCUGUGAUUCAGCCUUCAUGGACUACAUCAUUUCGCUAAUCAAGAAAGGCAUAACUGCUGGAGAUCUUCACAAAGCUUUGCUCCUAUCAAUUCCUUCUUCUUGCUGUUCGACUUCUUCUUUGCACCGAGAAAGUGGAAACCAACAGCUUCUUGUUUGUUGAGUCAUAAUACAUGCUAGCUGAAAAUAGUUUUUAGAUAGGGCAUACACUGAUGAACACAAUUGUAAAGCUAUUCAUACAGAUUGAAUAUUAUUUUAUCAAGAGAAAAUUUACCAAUUAGACAGCUUUCACUUUUACAUUUGUUCAUGAGAAGACUUUAACAAUCUAAUCCUCCAGUGGUACCUCUUAUGUAUUAACACUACUUUUUUUAUCGCACGCAUUUCACUUACUGCAGUACCUCCUUGAUCCAAUGAGGUCUAAAUGAUCAAUCAAUCAAAUAUGCCUCCUUUUAUGUAUAUGCAUUAGUAUCUUAAGUAUCGCAGGGCUUGUCUUCAAAGUUAGCAUCCGGUGUAAAAAAUUUGUUGUAUUUUCAGAACCAAUUAGGUGACAUCCAAUAUGAGCUAACAAAUGUUGAAAUAUAAAGGAAGACUCAAGUAUGAUAUUGGAACAACUGCAGACGUUCUUUCAAGAUAUGAUUUUUGAGAAAUGCACAGAAAAGGGAAGUUUUUGCAGUGUGUAUGAACAAGUUUAUGAACAAGUCUUACACUAUACUUGUUGAAUACUAGGCCUCAUUGCUUCUCAAUUCUCAUAACUUGGAAUCAAGGACAUCCUAAAAAAUUUUAGAACCUCAAGUAUAGAUAAAGCUGAUGACUUGGUUCAGCUACGUAAUUUCUUGUUACUUAUCACAAACGAUACGUUCUAAUAUGUGAUAGUUUGAUCCACACAGUGCAAUUUUAAAUGAAUAACAGCAUUGUUUUAGAAAAUGUAAACAAAAUAGUGAUAAUAAGAAAAAACACUUCUGCUAUUCAUAAAUUGAUCAUGGAAACAAAUUCUAUUGAUUUUGUGUUUCUAAACUAUACAGUAAAACUUCCACUUUAAAUCUCCUAUUUCUAGUAUCUAAGUCUACUAAUUUACAAAAUUUCUAUUCAAGAGACUUUGCACUUUGAUACUACUCAUGAUCUCAAGCGGGAUGUGAGAUCAACAAACACGUCUUCCUUGCAAGGUAUUGUUAGACCACCCAUUGGAUGAUUGAAGCCAAACUGGUCUUCAGCUUGAGUUAACAAGUCUUGAAAUAAAGGUUGGCUCAAGUAAGAUAUUGGCACGACGAAUCUCUUCUUCUGGCUCUCUCCUACAUAUACUGCACAAUGACCUUUAGGAACACCUAAGGAAUUUGAAAAUCUCCUCAAGAGUCUUGUACCUUGAAUAAGGGGACUCAUUUUGAUACCCAUAGUGAGACUCUUUUGUAACUUCAAAAGAUGACUUGAAAGAUUUUGAGAAAUACACAGCAAGUGAAACUUUCUAUGUGUGUGUAUAUAUACGAAGAGGAUUUGGUGGCCACCAGUGAGAGACAUUGGCACAUGAAGCUUCACAUGGUUUUGCUUACUCUAUUAUAUAUCAUCAAGUAUUCAGACAGGAAAUGUGUAGAAGAAUGACAUUAGGCCCCUCUUUUAUUUGAAAUAAAAUCCACAAGAAUCGAUGAGUUGAUGCCGAGAUGGAAAUCUAAAGGUCACCAAUCUACAUGACAAAUAAGAGAGCAGAACAUGGUUUUGUUUCUCAAAUUAUUGCCAUUGCUGAGAAAUACCAAGUAGGCCAACAGGCAUCAGCACAUGGCUUUGCUUAACAAACUUAUCAGCUCAACUUGUAUAAAUAAGCCCUCUUUCAUGAGCCUUUUCAUCAUCAAGCACAAGCAUUAUAAGUUCAGCCAUCAAAAGCCUCUCUAAAUAGCUUUCUUUUUUCUGAUCUUCCAAACAAAAAAAAUGGCAAUAAUCAGUACUAAGAAACUCAUCAAAAUGGUUAAGAAAUGGCAGAAGUUUGCAGCCACGCAGAGGAAGAGGAUUUCAUUUCCAAGAAAUAGUAGUGAUGCAGAUAGUUGCAGUACAUCCACAUCCUCUAUUGUUGAAAAAGGCCAUUUUGUAUUAUAUACAGUCGAUCAAGUACGCUUCGUGAUUCCCUUGGCUUAUCUUGAAUAUGAGUCCAUUCAGCAACUUUUAAACAUGUCCGAAGAAGAAUUUGGGCUGCCGACUGGUGGUCCUAUUACAUUACCUUGUGAUUCAGCCUUCAUGGACUACAUCAUUUCGCUAGUUAAAAAAUGUGUAACUGCAGGAGAUCUUCACAAAGCGUUGCUCCUCUCAAUUCCUUCAUGUUGCUAUUCAACUUCAUAUUCACACCUAGAAAGUGGAAACAAACUACUUCUUGUUUGUUGAGUCAUAAUCAACAUGCUAGCUCAAAAUAGUGUUUAGAUAGGGCAUAGACUGAAGAACACAAUUGUUAAGCACAUCAUACAGAUUGAAUAUUAUUCUAUCAGAAAAUUUACCAUAUAUAUCCACAGUUUUCACUUUUAUAUUUGGUUAUCAGUAGAAUUAACAAUCUGAUCCUGAAUUGGUACCACUUAUGUAUUACACCUCUUUGUUUAUCGCAAGCAUUUCACUUACUGUGGUACCUCCUUCAUCAAAUAAGGUCUAAAUGAUCAAUCAAUCAACUAUGCCUAAUUUUAUGUAUGUUGUAAUCAGGCUUUGAUAAAGUAUCGCGGGGCUUGUCUUCUAAGUUAGCAUCCUGUGUGAACAUUUUAUGGUAUUUUCAGAAGCAAUUAGGUGAUAAAACACUAUGAGCUAAAUUUGAAAUCUAGGGGAAGACUCAAGUAUGAUACUGAAACAACUGUGGACAUCCUUAACGCUAACUGAUGUUAAAAGAAUGAAUAAGUAACACAUAAUCUUGAGAAAUGCACAGAAGAGGAAAGUUUUAUGGCAAGUCUUACAUCUAAAAGUUUAUGGCAAGUCUUACAUCUAAGAGUUUAUCCAAAUAUACAGACACUAAACUUGUUGAACAGUAGCCCUCAUUGCUUCUCAAUUCUUAUAACUCGGAAUCAAGGACAUCCUAAAAAUUUAAAGCAUCAAGUAUUGAUAAAGCUGAUGACUUGGUUCCGCUACGUAAUUUCUUGUUACUUAUCACAGUUAUCAUUCUCAUUCCGUUAAAACGAUACUUUCUUGGAUGGGCUAGUUUGCUCCACAUGACAGUGCAAUUCUAAAUGAAUAACAGCAUUGUUUUAGAAAAUAUAAGCAAAGUAGAGAUUACAAGAAAAAGCACUUCUGCUAUUCAUAAAUGAUCAUGGAAACAAUUUCUAUUGAUUUUGUGUUUCUGAACUAUACAGUAAAUUAAACUUCCUCUCUAAAUCUCCUCUUUCUAAAAUCUAAAGUCUACUAAUCUACAAAAUUUCUUGUGCAAGAGAAUUUUCACUUUGAUACGAUUCAUGAUCUCAAACGAGAUGUGAGAUCAACAAACACAUCUUCUUUGCAAGGUAUUGUGAGACCGCCCAUUGGAUGAUCAAAGCCAAACUGCUCUUCAGCUUGACUUAACAAGUCUUGAAAUAAAGGCUCGCUCAAGUAAGAUAUUGGUACAACAAAUCUCCUCUUCUGGCUCUCCCCUACAUAUACAACACAAUGUCCUUUGGGAACACAUCCGGAAUUUGAAAACCUCCUCAAGAUUCUAGUACCUUGAACAAGGGGACUCAUUUUGAUACCCAUUGCGAGAUACUUUUGUAACGUCAAAUGAUGAGUGAAAAAGAAAAGGAAUGAAGUAUUUUGAGUAAUACUCAGCAAGUGAGACUUGUGUUUUGCAUAGAAAAACUUUCUAUGUAUAUAUACAAAAUUAGUGGUAAGUUUGAUAUUCAAAUAAAAUGUGAAAGAGAAUUUGGUGGCCACUGGUGAUGAGAGACAAUAGCACAUGAAGCUUCACAUGGCUUUGCUUACCAUGUUAUUGUCAAGUGUUCAAACAAUAAAUUAGGCCCCAAUCUUAUUUUACAGACACCCUCAAAAUAAAAUCGAUAAGGAUUGAUGAAUUUGAUGCAACAAUGGAAAUCUAAGGGUCACCUAUCUACAUGACAAAGAAGAGAGAAGAACAUGGUUUUGCUUCUCACCAGCAAUGAAGAAACUUAUCGUCUUUUGUAUUCAAACUUAGUUUCAUCCACAAACUCAAGGCCCCAUCAGCACAUGGCUUUGCCUAACAAACUUAUCAGCUCCUCUUGUAUAAAUAAUCCCACUUUCAUGAGCCUUUUCAUCACCAAGCACAAGCAAUAUCAAUUUAGCCAUCAAAAAUCUCUAAAUUUGUUAUUCACUUUCUUGGUUUUAAUCUUCUAGAAAAGAAAAUGACAAUGAUUAGUACUAAGAAACUCAUCAAAAUGGCUAGGAAAUGGCAGAAGUUUGCAGCAAUGCAGAGGAAGAGGAUUUCAUUUCCAAGAAAUGGUAGUCAUGCAGACAGUUGUAGUACGUCUUCAUCGUCUAUAGUUGAAAAAGGACAUUUUGUAGUAUAUACAGCUGAUCAAGUUCGCUUUGGCAUUCCAUUGGUUUACCUUGAAAAUGAGAUCAUUAGGCAACUCUUGAACAUGUCUGAAGAAGAAUUUGGGCUGCCGAGUGGUGGUCCUAUUACAUUACCCUGUGAUUCAGCCUUCAUGGACUACAUCAUUUUGCUAAUCAAGAAAGGCGUAACUGCUGGAG